Long non-coding RNA from Carya illinoinensis, 2841 nucleotides. RefSeq lists it as uncharacterized. The transcript is spliced from 2 exons. Lineage: Eukaryota; Viridiplantae; Streptophyta; Magnoliopsida; Fagales; Juglandaceae. The record is from RefSeq and is a predicted model, not a curated record.
AUCACGUUAGUGUGCGGUGUAACAGAUGAUAAGUAGUGUUUUUCUUUAUCAAUAUCUGUCACGCAUCCAAGUGGUUCAAUCCCACUCCAACACGUUAUACAAAUAGGUGAUCAGCGUAUGCAUGCAAACAAAUACCAUCGAUCAAGAAGUCCUUGGACCUCGUUCUUUCAGUUUUACCAAAGAGAGCAUCAGUCUUUGCCUUCAAACCUCAUUUCCUCCUUACUGCAGAACAAAGCUAGCUCACAGAACAAUAUAUAUGCAUGGCGAUUCUUCUUCUUCUUCUUCUUCUUCUUCUUGAUCUUGAUCUUCAGCCCCUUAUAAAAACCUCCUACGUGGAAAGUGCUUGCAUCAUGAGUUGCAGAUCAUCGAUAUCAAGUUGUCAGUUAACAUGACUGCGUGGCAUAUAGAGAUCAUGGGAUAUAUUAUUUAUCCAAGGUCUUACAUGUGGAUGAUGGGAGAUCUAUGAUGAUAAUGACAUCAAUUAAUGGCAAAGAUGGUCAUCGCAAUCACUUCAUGCCAGAUGCUAGAUGCUACAGAGAUCAAGUGAGGUAAUCUCUCUUCACAAUACUUAUCCAUUCAAGUACUGAUCUCCGAUUCCUUCCACGUACCCUAUAAUUGUUUGAGAGUACAGUGAUAUUAAUAAUUUGUGCCUUGACCAAAUUUACAGGUGCAAACUCAGUUUAGAUUUCAGUCCCAAUUCCCUGAUCUCUAUAUAUCUUCCCUCUUUCCCACUUACUACUCUCCCAACAAAAUCAAAUUAGUUCAUGUAGACAAAUGAAGAUUUCCUCCUCUUUCUCUCCAUUUUAUUCCAAUUUUUUUUUCCUUUUUCUUUGUUUUUUAUUUUAGAAUAAAGUUUGAGACAGAAAGAUUAGAUCAUAUUAGAAAUAUCGUAAUUAGUGGACAUGCAUAUAUCAUAAAUCUAAAAAUUGCCCAGUAUUAUAAGGUUUUGGUGAUGACAGUACAACCCAUUUAGUGUAAUAAAUAAAGUGACAUAAUUGGACUAUUGACCCAUCUUUAAAAGCUUAUAAAGUCAGACCCAUUUAAUUCCAUUCUUUAAUGAUGGGCAAAUUGGAAUUUGGGCAAUAUAUAUAGGUUAUGGUUCAUACUCUAGAUUCAUUCUUGAUUUUAUGCAUCUCAUCAAUGUGAGUAUGAGUAACAAUAUAUGACACGGCUUCUAAACCCAACACCACCAUGAAAUGAAAUUAGUGGGUUUGGAUUUUAUAAAAAUGAGUUCGGAUCAAAAAGAGUUGAUCCGUUAAAAUACGAAUAAUAAACGGAUCAAAACGCUUAACCCUCAAUAAUUCGUUUAACUUUUAUUUCAAAAUUACAAUUUGAUUAUUGUUGGGUUAUAACAUUGAUAUUUAUCUAUAUGAUUAUAUUUUUAUUAUUGAGAUUCCAAUUUUGGAUCUAUGUUCAUUUUUGUUAUUAUAGGGUUUGUAAUAUUAAUUUUAUUAUAGGUUAAAUUAUAAAAAAUAUUAAUAUUUUUUAUAAUUAGUAGGUAGUCUUAAUAUUUUUUUAGAUAUAGUAGCGACUAAUAAUAUAUAUUUUAAAUUUUAUAUAAAAUUAUGUUAAUCAUGUCAAAUGGAUUAUGCGUAUUAUUUCAAUUCAUUUACAUGAAACGGAUUAAAAUGAAUUGUGUUAUAUUUCUAAUUAAUUAUUAAAUGGGUUAAAAUGGAUGACACGAUAAGACCCAUUAUUUAAAGAAGUUUGAUUAGGGUUUGAAGGUUUGACCUAUUUAGCUUAACAUGUUAGGUUUUGGUUGACUCAUUUAGUCAAAUAUUCAUGAUUUGACACGACAUGAACAUAGUCUACAAACACAAAUUGCCAAGCUGAGAGUUUUUACAAAGAAUGAAUCUUGGGCGCAAAAUACUGAACUACUGCACUCUUCUCUCUUAUUGUUACAAGUGCACUCUAUCAAACCAUCUCUUGCCACAGCUUGACAUAUGAUCUCAACAUAUUCAGAUUAUCCAAAUUUAACAUGAGAGAGUUGUUUCAACUUUUCCUGGAAGUAUCAUCGCAUUGAUUUUUACACAAACCAUCUUGCUCGAAUUAACAUGGGAAUAGUUGGAAUGCUUGAUUGGGGUAGUUUAUGUGGUAGAUCGAUGAUGAUUAUAGUGGCUGGAUGUUCAAUAGAGCACCCGUCCCAAGAUUUCGAAACGUUUAAUAGGGAACGUUACCGAAGCUGUUCCAAAAAUUAACGGGCCGGUCAAUUUUAAUCCUACCUAAUAAUUAAAAUGUAGGCCGCAGAACCAGUUCUGCAUGAGGCUGGUCAAACUUAUAUACAAGCAUUCAAACCCACGAACGCAAAAUGGGGAAUAGAGCGCUCUCUACAUUAAUGAACUUCAUUCUUUAUCAACUUGAUAAAAGCUCAUUUAAAAAAAAAAAAAAAAAAAAAAAAAAAAACUUGAUAAAAGCGAACUUGCUAUAUAUGAACGGGUUUUCUUUCGUUUUAUCGCAAUUUCAAUUGUCUCAUGUGCAUGCCUUCUUUCUCCUGCCCUAUAUAUCUUGCACGUCAUAGGCAGUGCUGCUGGAUUUGGAGUAUUCAAAUAUGUAAAGAUCUCAUGUUAAACCAUUGUAGAAAUUUAGUAGAGAAUGUACCUAUAGCCAUUAUGCGGUAUUUAUCUACUAAAUGAUUACAUGUAGAAUUACUCUUUAAGAAAGAGAAGAGCGCAAUGGUUCAGUCUUUCAUGUUCAAUAUUCCUUAUUUGAAAAAAUUCACAACCAUAAAAUGCAUAGAGUCAAGAAUAAUUAAUUUGGAGUACGAACCAUAAUCUAUGUAAUAUCCAAACUUUAAUUUCUUCCAUCAUAAAAUAAUGAAAUUACAUGAGUUUUUAAUGGGUC